UUAGAUUUAGUUUUAGUCUUAAUAUUACUUUAUAAAAAAUAUGCAUAUAAAUUUAAACUAGAUCUUAAUUAAAUUUAGUAUAAAAUAUUUUAUUAUUAAGGCAACUUAAAAAAAUUUUUUAUUUUCAAAUUUUUGUGCCAGAAGUUUCGGUUAAACAAAUAAUUUAUUUAUACCAUUUAGUUAAUAUAAAAAAUUAAAUUAAGAAAAAAUUUAUUAAUUUUUGGUAAAAUAUUAAAUAAUAAAAUAUAUUCUUUUAAAAUUAUUUUUAUUAAAUAUAUUUAAAGUACUAGGAUUAGAUACCCUACUAAAAUUUAUAAAAAAACUAAGUUAUUAAAAUUUUAGUAUUUAAAAUUAAAAGAAAUGGCAGUAUAAUAACUAAAUUAGAGAAUUUUGUUUAUAAAUUGAUAAUACACAAAACACCUUACUUUAUUUUUUGUUUAUUUAUUUCCGUUUAAAAAAUUAAUAUAAAAUUUAAUUUUAGCUAAAAUUAAAUUUUAUAAUUCAGGUCAAUAUAUAUCUUUAUAAUAAAGUUUAAAUGAAAUACAUUAAAAAAAUAUAAAAUUAAUUAUUACAUCUAAUUGUAGUAUAAAAGAGAAUUUAAAAGUAAUAAAAUUUUAGAAUAAUUUUAUGAAUAAGUUAUAUUAUAUGUACAAAUCGCCCGUCAUUCUUAUAAAUUAGACAAGUCGUAACAUAGUAAAUAUAUUGGAAAAUGUAUUUGG
RNAcentral lists this ribosomal RNA (719 nucleotides) under Acaciothrips ebneri. Its description in RNAcentral is "12S ribosomal RNA". Lineage: Eukaryota; Metazoa; Arthropoda; Insecta; Thysanoptera; Phlaeothripidae. The record is from RNAcentral.